UAGGGAAUCUUCCGCAAUGGACGAAAGUCUGACGGAGCAACGCCGCGUGAGUGAAGAAGGUCUUCGGAUCGUAAAGCUCUGUUGUUAGCGAAGAACAAGUAUCGGAGGAAAUGCCGGUACCUUGACGGUACCUGACGAGAAAGCCACGGCUAACUACGUGCCAGCAGCCGCGGUAAUACGUAGGUGGCAAGCGUUGUCCGGAAUUAUUGGGCGUAAAGCGCGCGCAGGCGGUCCUUUAAGUCUGAUGUGAAAUCUUGCGGCUCAACCGCAAGCGGUCAUUGGAAACUGGGGGACUUGAGUGCAGAAGAGGAAAGCGGAAUUCCACGUGUAGCGGUGAAAUGCGUAGAGAUGUGGAGGAACACCAGUGGCGAAGGCGGCUUUCUGGUCUGUAACUGACGCUGAGGCGCGAAAGCGUGGGGAGCAAA
Molecule: ribosomal RNA, 425 nt
Filed under: uncultured bacterium
Lineage: Bacteria
Description: bacterial SSU rRNA
Rfam family: Bacterial small subunit ribosomal RNA
Source: RNAcentral